Molecule: long non-coding RNA, 311 nt
Organism: Alosa sapidissima (American shad)
Lineage: Eukaryota; Metazoa; Chordata; Actinopteri; Clupeiformes; Clupeidae
Exons: 3
Source: RefSeq, a predicted model, not a curated record
ACGAAAUGCAGCAACGCGCAUACGAAAUGUCAACAGUGUUACACGUGGUGACCUCAGUUAAGGAAACAUUAAGGUGAUUGUAGGCCUAUCAUCAAUAUCGGCAGUGCUUUGAAAUCUGCUGUCUGCCCUACUGUCUGAGAUAACACCACAAAUGCUGCAAUUGCGUUAAUGCAUAAUGGUUUUCCCUUAAAAGUCAAGGAAGUGCAUGUUCAGUGUGAUACUCGUAUGUGAGUGAACUAGUUGCAUCUGUCUUUCCGUUGGGGAGGUUUUAUUUUUCUAUGCAUUGCCAAUAAAAUGUAUGUUCAUAAUUA